Gossypium hirsutum (cotton) is the source of this 145-nucleotide non-coding RNA. The record is from Rfam. NCBI's taxonomy places the organism in Eukaryota, Viridiplantae, Streptophyta, Magnoliopsida, Malvales, Malvaceae.
UGUUAAAAAUUCCAUCCAUUUUUAAUGUUAAAAAUUGAUGUGGUUGACGGAAUAACCAGACAGUGACACGUGAUGUGCCAUGUAUAUCACAUUUUGACCUAUAGUGACUAAUUUUUAAUAGUAAAAAUAGAUGAAAUUUUUAACG